GAUGAAGAACGUAGCGAAAUGCGAUAAGUAAUGUGAAUUGCAGAAUUCAGUGAAUCAUCGAAUCUUUGAACGCACAUUGCGCCCUUUGGCAUUCCGAAGGGCACACCUGUCCGAGCGCCGUCGCACAACUGAGGCGCAGCCUUGCGUUGGCGGGCGACUUGUGAGUAGCGAGUCGCCGCCCAAACGAGACGGCGCCGCGCCGCGGCCGACGAAGCACGAAAGCGGAAGUCGACGCGGAGGCGGUUGCCUGUAGGAAGACACAGCUUGGCCUCGGAUCAGGUGGGGAUACCCGCUGAACUUAAGCAUAUCAUAAGCGGAGG
RNAcentral lists this unclassified non-coding RNA (320 nucleotides) under soil metagenome. Its description in RNAcentral is "partial contains 5.8S ribosomal RNA, internal transcribed spacer 2, and large subunit ribosomal RNA". The stretch from base 1 to 120 matches the Rfam family "5.8S ribosomal RNA", at positions 35 to 154 of the family's 154-position model. The record is from RNAcentral.